RNAcentral lists this long non-coding RNA (1289 nucleotides) under Phasianus colchicus (ring-necked pheasant). Its description in RNAcentral is "lncRNA (ENSPCLG00000020653.1)". The record is from RNAcentral. Lineage: Eukaryota; Metazoa; Chordata; Aves; Galliformes; Phasianidae.
ACCUGGUACAAAUCAGAGGUUGGCUCUUACUUGGUGCUUAUCUCUUUAUUUCUGUGGUAAAUACUCUGCUUUUCAGGUAGUUAUUGGUUGCAGUUUUUAUGCUCUGUAGAAUCUUAAACUUAAAAUGCAACUGAAGUGGUCGCUUUCAUUUAUUUCUGACCCAGAGUAGGUAUCUCAGAAUGCCAAAUGCCCAGCACUAGGAAAAAUAGGUUGACUUCUGCUGAAAUAGCUGAAUUCCCUGACUUCAGUGAAAAGAACAUGUAUGCAACUCUAUGCCACGUUCAUGUAUCUGUGCAUAUUCAUGCCUGUUGAUCUGCAGUACUUUCACUUUCUGAUGCUAUGCAAUGUAGGCAUGCAAAGAAUCUGAAGCAGGCUUACAGUAGCCCUGCAGAAACAGCCUAAACCUGCUGACUUUUCCUGCUUGUGGCUCCACAAAUAAAACACUGCAGUCUGUAAAUGUGGAUUGCACAACUGGACCCAUCAGUAGAGUGUGAUGGAAUUGAAGUUGACUCGUCUCUUCUUACUGAGAUGAGCAGAAGAUGUGACCCCUUUCCAAUGAGGAGAUGUUUAGAUGGGAGGGACAAAUGUAGAACUGAACCAGUUAAUAGCGGUUGUUUCAGAUUAUUAUUUUUAAAUGUGACACACGCUUCUGUUGUAAUUAGAAAAUUCUGUCUUCAAGGAAAGUCACCUUGACUUUAAAAACUAAACAAGUCCUGAAUGAUAUGCUAAUUAUGAUGCAUCUCUGACUAAAUGGUUGAAUAAGUUUUUAAGCACUUCUUGCCUAAGUAGUUUGCAUAAAGUUCCUUCUUCCUCAGUGUCUUUUGGUUGUCCCACCCCCUCCACCCCCCCCAACAGAGUUGGUUGGUCAAGUUGAUCUCUUGUUUGAAAUUCAAUCAAGGGCAUUAAAGUGUAAACCAGUUGGAAAAACAAAGAGCUUAGGGAAAUCAUUUGCUUAAACAACAACAAACAAGCACUGGUAAUCUUCUUAGAGAAAUUAAUGAAGGGAAAACCCCCUCAGCCUGGGUGGAUAAUGAUCCUUAGCUAUCAUGUAACAAGCCUAGAAGGUUUAGGGAGAAGGUGAAAAUUAAGCAAGCUGGAUUAAAGUGAACUUCCAGAGGAACAAAAAGAAAUUUGGGAUAAAGAUCAGUUCUCCCAAGUUGAGAUUGAAAAGUAGUUCUGAACUGGAAGGAGCUUAAUCCUUUAUGUAAAUCUGGCGUAGAGGUAAGUUUUCAUCUCAGAAUGUUGUGUGUUUCUAGCAUACAGUUAAUAAAUAUUUUUUAAAUGAUUCA